Long non-coding RNA from Vespula pensylvanica (western yellowjacket), 411 nucleotides. RefSeq lists it as uncharacterized. Lineage: Eukaryota; Metazoa; Arthropoda; Insecta; Hymenoptera; Vespidae. The record is from RefSeq and is a predicted model, not a curated record. The transcript has 2 exons.
UUUACUAUAUAGCAACGUAUAUAUGACAAUGUAAUGAUGAUAGUUGAAGCUACUUGAAACAUUUGAAGAUCGUAAAAUUGAUAAUAAACAAUUUAAUGAGGAUAUUUGACGUAAAAAAUAAAAAAGAAAAAAAUACGCUUCCAGGAUAAAAUUAUGAACAAUUUCUUAAAUUAAAAAAAAAAAAUAAAUAAAUUAUGACAAAAAAACAAGUGAACUUUCUGUUAAUCGUGUUGUUCAUUUGGACGGUACACGAGUUAACUAGAGUCAUGGAAGAUAUAAAAGAAUAAUCUGAUCGAUCGUUUCGAAGGUUAAGAGAUAAGGAAUAUUUAAAGUGAUAAAAAUCGCCUACAUAGAUUCGAUUACUUAAACGAUAUAAUCAGGAAUACGAGAGCGAGAUAUCGAUCGUGAUUU